This 1252-nucleotide ribosomal RNA is filed under the name metagenome. RNAcentral describes it as "bacterial SSU rRNA". It matches the Rfam family "Bacterial small subunit ribosomal RNA", at positions 243 to 1520 of the family's 1533-position model. The record is from RNAcentral.
AGCUAGUUGGUGAGGUAACGGCCCACCAAGGCGACGAUCGGUAGCCGGACUGAGAGGUUGAACGGCCACAUUGGGACUGAGACACGGCCCAGACUCCUACGGGAGGCAGCAGUGGGGAAUAUUGCACAAUGGGGGAAACCCUGAUGCAGCGACGCCGCGUGGAGGAAGAAGGUCUUCGGAUUGUAAACUCCUGUUGUUGAGGAAGAUAAUGACGGUACUCAACAAGGAAGUGACGGCUAACUACGUGCCAGCAGCCGCGGUAAAACGUAGGUCACAAGCGUUGUCCGGAAUUACUGGGUGUAAAGGGAGCGCAGGCGGGAAGACAAGUUGGAAGUGAAAUCCAUGGGCUCAACCCAUGAACUGCUUUCAAAACUGUUUUUCUUGAGUAGUGCAGAGGUAGGCGGAGUUCCCGGUGUAGCGGUGGAAUGCGUAGAUAUCGGGAGGAACACCAGUGGCGAAGGCGGCCUACUGGGCACCAACUGACGCUGAGGCUCGAAAGUGUGGGUAGCAAACAGGAUUAGAUACCCUGGUAGUCCACACUGCAAACGAUGAUUACUAGGUGUUGGAGGAUUGACCCCUUCAGUGCCGCAGUUAACACAAUAAGUAAUCCACCUGGGGAGUACGACCGCAAGGUUGAAACUCAAAGGAAUUGACGGGGGCCCGCACAAGCAGUGGAGUAUGUGGUUUAAUUCGACGCAACGCGAAGAACCUUACCAAGUCUUGACAUCCUGCGACGCACAUAGAAAUAUGUGUUUCCUUCGGGACGCAGAGACAGGUGGUGCAUGGUUGUCGUCAGCUCGUGUCGUGAGAUGUUGGGUUAAGUCCCGCAACGAGCGCAACCCUUAUGGUCAGUUACUACGCAAGAGGACUCUGGCCAGACUGCCGUUGACAAAACGGAGGAAGGUGGGGAUGACGUCAAAUCAUCAUGCCCUUUAUGACUUGGGCUACACACGUACUACAAUGGCGUUAAACAAAGAGAAGCAAGACCGCGAGGUGGAGCAAAACUCAGAAACAACGUCCCAGUUCGGACUGCAGGCUGCAACUCGCCUGCACGAAGUCGGAAUUGCUAGUAAUCGCAGAUCAGCAUGCUGCGGUGAAUACGUUCCCGGGCCUUGUACACACCGCCCGUCACACCAUGAGAGCCGGGGGGACCCGAAGUCGGUAGUCUAACCGCAAGGAGGACGCCGCCGAAGGUAAAACUGGUGAUUGGGGUGAAGUCGUAACAAGGUAGCCGUAGGAGAACCUGCGGCUG